CCAAAAGCUGGCGACCGGCGCACGGGUGAGUAACACGUAUCCAACCUGCCUCAUACUCGGGGAUAGCCUUUCGAAAGAAAGAUUAAUAUCCGAUAGCAUAUAUUUCCCGCAUGGGUUUUAUAUUAAAGAAAUUCGGUAUGAGAUGGGGAUGCGUUCCAUUAGUUUGUUGGGGGGUAACGGCCCACCAAGACUACGAUGGAUAGGGGUUCUGAGAGGAAGGUCCCCCACACUGGUACUGAGACACGGACCAG
RNAcentral lists this ribosomal RNA (251 nucleotides) under uncultured bacterium. RNAcentral's name for it is "partial 16S ribosomal RNA". It matches the Rfam family "Bacterial small subunit ribosomal RNA", at positions 80 to 334 of the family's 1533-position model. The record is from RNAcentral.